UAAUCUCACCUUCCAACUCUUUGUUGGCAUGUUGUGGAUUUGGAUGUUGCCGUGUUGCAAUGGCUCAUCUGAAAUGCCUGAGUACAUCCUGGAUUGUGAUGUGUUCGGUGUGAUAAGCUUUCACCGUCAUCGACCCCAGUAGUCGCACUCACUCUUACCCAAGGCUCUGUGCUUCCAAUCGUCUUAAUCAGACAAUUUUGACA
Molecule: unclassified non-coding RNA, 203 nt
Filed under: uncultured Sebacinales
Lineage: Eukaryota; Fungi; Basidiomycota; Agaricomycetes; Sebacinales
Also listed under: 1 other name
Description: sequence contains ITS2
Source: RNAcentral